Molecule: ribosomal RNA, 711 nt
Filed under: uncultured bacterium
Lineage: Bacteria
Description: bacterial SSU rRNA
Rfam family: Bacterial small subunit ribosomal RNA
Source: RNAcentral
CAUGCAAGUCGAGCGAAUCAAUGGGAGCUUGCUCCCUGAGAUUAGCGGCGGACGGGUGAGUAACACGUGGGUAACCUGCCUGUAAGAUUGGGAUAACUCCGGGAAACCGGAGCUAAUACCGGAUAACAUUUUGAACCGCAUGGUUCAAAAUUGAAAGGUGGCUUUUGCUACCACUUACAGAUGGACCCGCGGCGCAUUAGCUAGUUGGUGAGGUAACGGCUCACCAAGGCAACGAUGCGUAGCCGACCUGAGAGGGUGAUCGGCCACACUGGGACUGAGACACGGCCCAGACUCCUACGGGAGGCAGCAGUGGGGAAUUUUGGACAAUGGGCGCAAGCCUGAUCCAGCCAUGCCGCGUGCAGGAUGAAGGCCUUCGGGUUGUAAACUGCUUUUGUACGGAACGAAAAGGUUCUUUCUAAUAAAGAGAGCUCAUGACGGUACCGUAAGAAUAAGCACCGGCUAACUACGUGCCAGCAGCCGCGGUAAUACGUAGGGUGCAAGCGUUAAUCGGAAUUACUGGGCGUAAAGCGUGCGCAGGCGGUUGUGCAAGACAGAUGUGUAAUCCCCGGGCUCAACCUGGGAAUGGCAUUUGUGACUGCACGGCUAGAGUGUGUCAGAGGGGGGUAGAAUUCCACGUGUAGCAGUGAAAUGCGUAGAUAUGUGGAGGAAUACCGAUGGCGAANGCAGCCCCCUGGGAUACACUGACGCUCA